UCCCCCCUCAAGAACAAGAUAGCAAGAUGUCGGACUCUCUCGACGCCAUUCGCAAGGCGCAGGAGGACAGAUUCUUCAAGCUCGAGCAGGAGAAACACCUUCAAGCCUACGUGGUGAGUCCCCGGACAUUUUCCUGCGCCGUUUCUCGACUACGUCCUGACCCGUCCCAUCCCCGCGUCCUCCCCCCGCGAUGUCCCAGAAAAAACUCAAAGCCUCUGGCAGGUUCGACCAGAUUCCCGCAAGCGCGCCUCGCACCUUCUCCGCGAGCGCGCUGCCUCAGGUUUUGGCGCACGAGCUGCGUUUGUCCACCCCCGUCGAGGAGGUGCUCGAGCGAAGGCAGCUCGACCGCUCGUUCAUGACCCGCCAGAUCAUCAAGGGCGUGUGCACCGGCGACCCGUACCUGAUCAAUUCCGUGACGCUCGGGUCUCGGGUGAGCAUGGGCAAGAACAAGUGGAGCGCGGGCAC
RNAcentral lists this long non-coding RNA (465 nucleotides) under Micromonas commoda. RNAcentral describes it as "long non-coding RNA (MCOM_LNC000391)". Lineage: Eukaryota; Viridiplantae; Chlorophyta; Mamiellophyceae; Mamiellales; Mamiellaceae. The record is from RNAcentral.